GCCUUCGUAGCUCAGGGGAUAGAGCACCGCUCUCCUAAAGCGGGUGUCGCAGGUUCGAAUCCUGCCGGGGGCACAA
RNAcentral lists this transfer RNA (76 nucleotides) under Streptomyces antibioticus. Its description in RNAcentral is "tRNA-Arg". It matches the Rfam family "tRNA". Rfam says of the family: Transfer RNA (tRNA) molecules are approximately 80 nucleotides in length. Their secondary structure includes four short double-helical elements and three loops (D, anti-codon, and T loops). Further hydrogen bonds mediate the characteristic L-shaped molecular structure. tRNAs have two regions of fundamental functional importance: the anti-codon, which is responsible for specific mRNA codon recognition, and the 3' end, to which the tRNAs corresponding amino acid is attached (by aminoacyl-tRNA synthetases). tRNAs cope with the degeneracy of the genetic code in two manners: having more than one tRNA (with a specific anti-codon) for a particular amino acid; and 'wobble' base-pairing, i.e. permitting non-standard base-pairing at the 3rd anti-codon position. The record is from RNAcentral. Lineage: Bacteria; Bacillati; Actinomycetota; Actinomycetes; Kitasatosporales; Streptomycetaceae. RNAcentral also lists the same sequence under 67 other names.